RNAcentral lists this ribosomal RNA (3013 nucleotides) under Salmonella enterica subsp. salamae serovar 42:r:-. RNAcentral describes it as "23S ribosomal RNA". It matches the Rfam family "Bacterial large subunit ribosomal RNA". Lineage: Bacteria; Pseudomonadati; Pseudomonadota; Gammaproteobacteria; Enterobacterales; Enterobacteriaceae. The record is from RNAcentral.
GGGUUGUGAGGUUAAGCGACCAAGCGUACACGGUGGAUGCCCUGGCAGUCAGAGGCGAUGAAGGACGUGCUAAUCUGCGAUAAGCGCCGGUAAGGUGAUAUGAACCGUUAUAACCGGCGAUUUCCGAAUGGGGAAACCCAGUGUGAUUCGUCACACUAUCAUUAACUGAAUCCAUAGGUUAAUGAGGCGAACCGGGGGAACUGAAACAUCUAAGUACCCCGAGGAAAAGAAAUCAACCGAGAUUCCCCCAGUAGCGGCGAGCGAACGGGGAGGAGCCCAGAGCCUGAAUCAGCAUGUGUGUUAGUGGAAGCGUCUGGAAAGGCGCGCGAUACAGGGUGACAGCCCCGUACACAAAAGCGCAUAUGCUGUGAGCUCGAUGAGUAGGGCGGGACACGUGGUAUCCUGUCUGAAUAUGGGGGGACCAUCCUCCAAGGCUAAAUACUCCUGACUGACCGAUAGUGAACCAGUACCGUGAGGGAAAGGCGAAAAGAACCCCGGCGAGGGGAGUGAAACAGAACCUGAAACCGUGUACGUACAAGCAGUGGGAGCACAGGUUUACCUGUGUGACUGCGUACCUUUUGUAUAAUGGGUCAGCGACUUAUAUUCUGUAGCAAGGUUAACCGCAUAGGGGAGCCGAAGGGAAACCGAGUCUUAAUUGGGCGUUAAGUUGCAGGGUAUAGACCCGAAACCCGGUGAUCUAGCCAUGGGCAGGUUGAAGGUUGGGUAACACUAACUGGAGGACCGAACCGACUAAUGUUGAAAAAUUAGCGGAUGACCUGUGGCUGGGGGUGAAAGGCCAAUCAAACCGGGAGAUAGCUGGUUCUCCCCGAAAGCUAUUUAGGUAGCGCCUCGUGAACUCAUCUCCGGGGGUAGAGCACUGUUUCGGCUAGGGGGCCAUCCCGGCUUACCAACCCGAUGCAAACUGCGAAUACCGGAGAAUGUUAUCACGGGAGACACACGGCGGGUGCUAACGUCCGUCGUGAAGAGGGAAACAACCCAGACCGCCAGCUAAGGUCCCAAAGUCAUGGUUAAGUGGGAAACGAUGUGGGAAGGCCCAGACAGCCAGGAUGUUGGCUUAGAAGCAGCCAUCAUUUAAAGAAAGCGUAAUAGCUCACUGGUCGAGUCGGCCUGCGCGGAAGAUGUAACGGGGCUAAACCAUGCACCGAAGCUGCGGCAGCGAACGUAUCACUUAAAACGAUUCAGAAGCUUACGAUUGACGGAGCGAAGCGACGUCAAAGCGUAUACAAAGUCGAGUCGGUUUAAGGAUACGUUCGUUGGGUAGGGGAGCGUUCUGUAAGCCUGCGAAGGUGGCCUGUGAGGGUUGCUGGAGGUAUCAGAAGUGCGAAUGCUGACAUAAGUAACGAUAAAGCGGGUGAAAAGCCCGCUCGCCGGAAGACCAAGGGUUCCUGUCCAACGUUAAUCGGGGCAGGGUGAGUCGACCCCUAAGGCGAGGCCGAAAGGCGUAGUCGAUGGGAAACGGGUUAAUAUUCCCGUACUUGGUGUUACUGCGAAGGGGGGACGGAGAAGGCUAUGUUGGCCGGGCGACGGUUGUCCCGGUUUAAGCGUGUAGGCUGACUUUCCAGGCAAAUCCGGAGAGUCAAGGCUGAGGCGUGACGACGAGGCACCACGGUGCUGAAGCAACAAAUGCCCUGCUUCCAGGAAAAGCCUCUAAGCAUCAGGUAACAUCAAAUCGUACCCCAAACCGACACAGGUGGUCAGGUAGAGAAUACCAAGGCGCUUGAGAGAACUCGGGUGAAGGAACUAGGCAAAAUGGUGCCGUAACUUCGGGAGAAGGCACGCUGACACGUAGGUGAAGUGAUUUACUCAUGGAGCUGAAGUCAGUCGAAGAUACCAGCUGGCUGCAACUGUUUAUUAAAAACACAGCACUGUGCAAACACGAAAGUGGACGUAUACGGUGUGACGCCUGCCCGGUGCCGGAAGGUUAAUUGAUGGGGUCAGCGCAAGCGAAGCUCCUGAUCGAAGCCCCGGUAAACGGCGGCCGUAACUAUAACGGUCCUAAGGUAGCGAAAUUCCUUGUCGGGUAAGUUCCGACCUGCACGAAUGGCGUAAUGAUGGCCAGGCUGUCUCCACCCGAGACUCAGUGAAAUUGAACUCGCUGUGAAGAUGCAGUGUACCCGCGGCAAGACGGAAAGACCCCGUGAACCUUUACUAUAGCUUGACACUGAACAUUGAGCCUUGAUGUGUAGGAUAGGUGGGAGGCUUUGAAGCGUGGACGCCAGUCUGCGUGGAGCCGGCCUUGAAAUACCACCCUUUAAUGUUUGAUGUUCUAACGUGGACCCGUGAUCCGGGUUGCGGACAGUGUCUGGUGGGUAGUUUGACUGGGGCGGUCUCCUCCUAAAGAGUAACGGAGGAGCACGAAGGUUGGCUAAUCCUGGUCGGACAUCAGGAGGUUAGUGCAAUGGCAUAAGCCAGCUUGACUGCGAGCGUGACGGCGCGAGCAGGUGCGAAAGCAGGUCAUAGUGAUCCGGUGGUUCUGAAUGGAAGGGCCAUCGCUCAACGGAUAAAAGGUACUCCGGGGAUAACAGGCUGAUACCGCCCAAGAGUUCAUAUCGACGGCGGUGUUUGGCACCUCGAUGUCGGCUCAUCACAUCCUGGGGCUGAAGUAGGUCCCAAGGGUAUGGCUGUUCGCCAUUUAAAGUGGUACGCGAGCUGGGUUUAGAACGUCGUGAGACAGUUCGGUCCCUAUCUGCCGUGGGCGCUGGAGAACUGAGGGGGGCUGCUCCUAGUACGAGAGGACCGGAGUGGACGCAUCACUGGUGUUCGGGUUGUCAUGCCAAUGGCACUGCCCGGUAGCUAAAUGCGGAAGAGAUAAGUGCUGAAAGCAUCUAAGCACGAAACUUGCCCCGAGAUGAGUUCUCCCUGAGACUUUGAGUCUCCUGAAGGAACGUUGAAGACGACGACGUUGAUAGGCCGGGUGUGUAAGCGCAGCGAUGCGUUGAGCUAACCGGUACUAAUGAACCGUGAGGCUUAACCUUACAACGCCGAAGCUGUU